RNAcentral lists this ribosomal RNA (253 nucleotides) under uncultured bacterium. RNAcentral's name for it is "partial 16S ribosomal RNA". It matches the Rfam family "Bacterial small subunit ribosomal RNA", at positions 524 to 776 of the family's 1533-position model. The record is from RNAcentral.
UACGUAGGUGGCAAGCGUUGUCCGGAUUUACUGGGCGUAAAGAGCGCGCAGGCGGUCGUUCAAGUCGCGUGUGAAAGCCCCCGGCUCAACUGGGGAGGGUCACGCGAUACUGAUCGACUCGAAGGCAGGAGAGGGUAGUGGAAUUCCCGGUGUAGUGGUGAAAUGCGUAGAUAUCGGGAGGAACACCAGUGGCGAAGGCGACUACCUGGCCUGUUCUUGACGCUGAGGCGCGAAAGCAUGGGGAGCGAACAGG